UAACACGUGGGUAACCUGCCUUAUAGUGGGGGAUAGCCUUUCGAAAGGAAGAUUAAUACCGCAUAAGAUUGUAGUAUCGCAUGAUAUAGCAAUUAAAAGGAGCAAUUCGCUAUAAGAUGGACCCGCGUCGCAUUAGCUAGUUGGUGAGGUAAUGGCUCACCAAGGCGACGAUGCGUAGCCGACCUGAGAGGGUGAACGGCCACAUUGGGACUGAGACACGGCCCAGACUCCUACGGGAGGCAGCAUG
Molecule: ribosomal RNA, 247 nt
Filed under: uncultured bacterium
Lineage: Bacteria
Description: partial 16S ribosomal RNA
Rfam family: Bacterial small subunit ribosomal RNA
Source: RNAcentral